GGCUGCGCACCGCCUGUGGGGAAGAGGUUUGGGACCGCGGGUAAGGUGGAGUCUCGGGCGGCCUACCGAGGUGGCUCCUCCGGGCCCGCGGGGGGCCCACCCAACCCCUCCGCCCCCAGGACCGGGUCCGGGAAUGUAAAUUGAUGCGCGUGCCCGUUCGAGGCAGCCCCUGCCCUGGUCACCUCCAAACUGUCCGGCCUAGUGGGCUUGGAUGAGUGGGCCCGGGUGGCAGUUCUAACGUCUUGGUCUCUUUGCUGAAUUAUUUCUUCAAAGAAAACACAAAGGUCCUUCUUCCAGCUUUUGACCACAGGAAUCAAGGGCAUCAAAGUGGAACUCAACCUAAUUUGAAGUAUCAGAAAUGACUUCUCCUAGCAAGAGAUGGUCUGAGCCAAGAUUUAAAACUGCUUCAGAGUGAACUCAGUGCAGAAAUUGGGGAAAAGAAAGGAAGAACAUAAAGACCUCAUGGUGGGACAAGCAGCGUCUCAGGGACUAUGAAGAAAUGAGGGAGAUAAUGUGAGAUGAGUCUAGAGAACCAAAGGCCCACCAUGCAGGGCCUUACAGGCUUCCUAAGGAUUCUUAUCUUUGUUUUAAAAGCAAUGCAAAUGAAUUGAAGAGGUUUUAGUAGGAAUGACAUGAUCAGACUUUGUGGUUUUAAAUGAUCACUCUAGCUUCAGUGUAAAGAAUCCAUUCUUUAAAUAAAUAUGACCUGGGUGUGCACUAUAGGUCAAGUACCGGUCUGCACACUGAGUACACAGUGGUGGACAAAAUGCACAGACUCCCUGUCUUUGAGGAUCUUACAGAAAAUACAUAAUAGUACAUAAGAUGGUGAGAAGUGCUAUCAAGAAUAUUGGAACCCAGGAUGAUAGUAAGUUUAUGUGGUACAGCCUGGUAGGAUGACAUUAGUGUUAUACUGUUCAACAUAACAUUUGGAAGAGUCAGAGAAGACCUAAUGAGGUGAUGCAAAGAAAGAGGCAAGCUGUGCAAAUCUGUGGUGGGGAGAGCAUCCCAAGCUAAGGGAAAGCAAGCGCAAAGGCCCUAAAGCAAGAAUGUACUUACCGUGUUUGAGGAGCAAAGAGGAGGCCAGUGUGGCUGAAGAGGAAUGGUAGUAGGGACCAGAGCGUGCUGGGUCUUGUAGACCACGGUAAGAAAUUGGCUUUUCCUCUUUGAAUGAUGUAAGCUGUUGAGGAGUUUUCAGUAGAGGAGCUACACAAUCCGUCAUCUUGAAAAGGACUGCUCUGUUACUGGUAUACAGAGGGAUCACU
This is a long non-coding RNA of Mesoplodon densirostris (Blainville's beaked whale), 1262 nucleotides long. RefSeq lists it as uncharacterized. The transcript is spliced from 3 exons. NCBI's taxonomy places the organism in Eukaryota, Metazoa, Chordata, Mammalia, Artiodactyla, Ziphiidae. The record is from RefSeq and is a predicted model, not a curated record.